Molecule: long non-coding RNA, 5979 nt
Organism: Phascolarctos cinereus (koala)
Lineage: Eukaryota; Metazoa; Chordata; Mammalia; Diprotodontia; Phascolarctidae
Source: RefSeq, a predicted model, not a curated record
GCGUUCAACACUUAUUGAAGGACACGAGUUUGGCUCUCUCUGGAGACCUGCAAAGAGCAUCAGACAGAAAGUUACUGAAUAGAUGAGGACACUGAGGUUCAGAGAGGUAAAGCUGCUGUUCCAAUGUCACACAAGAAUGACUACUUUGGGUCUAUCAUGGCUGACUUCAAAACAUCAUUUCUACAAGGAUGUUCAGAGGAAAGGGAGCCAAGAAGCUUUCUACACAAGCAUUUUCAUUCCCAGAGAUACAAGAAGUUUGGAAGCCCCUCUUGCCUCCCACCUCCAAGCACCCCCCGCUUCUGUUUGCCAACUCCAAGGCACUGUUCUCUCAUUUCCCCCAAACUUCCUUAUAGGCUCAUCAAAGGAGAUGUUUCAUUAAGUUGGUUGUACUGCAUACUGAAAUAACCAGUUGAAGAGUCAAGCCGACUAUUUGGCAUUAAGUAGUUGAAUAAACUAAACAGUAGUUUGAAUUCAGGAUUAAAAAUGAACAAGCAAAACCCCACCAAAAUCUCUUGAUUUAGAUAAACCAGUGUGUGUGUGUGUGUGUGUGUGUGUGUGUGUGUGUGUAAACACACAGAUAGCAUAAACAUCAUUGUCCACAGAAGCAUUUGUAUUUUGCAUCCUGGGAUUUCCUUUAUAGAUUGAUGGGAAGCUCCAAAUAGUGUUCAGAUUCAAGCAAUUCUCACCUACUUCAUAUGACUGAAGCAUAGACCAUGCCUCCAACUCUCUGGUACCUGGUGGGACACCAGGCUUUAACCAACCAAGAAUCCAUCAACAUAGUUACACACCAAUGAUAGUGGAAUCCUAAGAAAAUCCUCAUUAGUCAAGAAAACUAGAGGCGUAAAAGGAAGGAGCUGAAAAAAAAAAGUCCAAUAAUAUUCAUUCUAAGAUUAUCCUGGGCAAUGGAAAAAUCUUACUUAAAAUUCCUCUCAUUCCUACAAAAGGGCAGAUGCAACCAUAAGGACUCUACAAAAUCAAACAGUUCAAUUUGAUCUUAUCCCUGUAAAAGAUGGGCAGUGGACCAUGCCCUGCCUCCCAAACAGCAUUACUUUUCCUUUGGAUUCUACGUGGCCAGAAAGACCCACUUUUAAGUGAGUUGACUUCUUUUGGGAGGCUCAAAUCCCUUCAACCUUAGUUUUCAUAAAGUUUGUGCAUGGGAGGGGAGGGGGGAAGAAAGAAACUAGACUGGGACACAACUUCGUGCCUAGACAUUUAGCUAGAGAGCCAGUCUGAAACACAGGAAGACCUGGGUUCAAGUCCUACCUCUGACAUACACUGGUUGUGACCCUGGGCAAGUUCCUUAGCAACUUCUCUAUGCUCUAGGCUACUCUCUAGACUUAAGUUGGAAACAAAGUGUCAAUAUGCAUUGGUACAAGGAGUUUCCUUACCAGGGAAUUCCCUAUCUCUCAGUCUCUGUCCCUGUUGAAAUGCCUUGUGCAUAUACAGAAUCACUGACUUCACAUUCUAAUGGAUUGCUAUGUAGCAAAAAUAGCCAUAGUGGUAGUAGCCAUCAAAAUAAGACAGGAAAAGGAGUAAGGAUUUCUGAAUGAUAAGCUAAAGAUAUAUACUGAAAGCUGUUAAAUGCAUUUUACUGGGGGCAAACUGUAACCUCUAAAAUCACAGCACUGGUAGGGGCCACAAAAGCCAUCUAGUCCAACUCAUACUUCAACAGGAAUAUUCCUGUUCCCUGAUAUUCCUAGCAAGUGGUCAUGCAGCUUUUGUCUGAAGACCUACCAUGAUGAUGGGGAAACCCAUUACCUUCUAAAACAGCCCAUUCUUUUUUUUUGGAUAGCUCUAAAUUUUAGAAAGAUUCUCUUUUUAUUAUACCAAGAUGAGCCAGCUGAGGCAUGGCAAAACAAUUCUAAUCCCUUUUCCCACACAUCAUCCCAUUGAAUCUUCAAGAUAACUGUUGUGACUUACCUAAGGCUUCUCUUCACCAAGGCAAAACAUACCUAGCAUGGUUUUUGGAUCCCUCUACCAUACUAAUCACAUUCUUUUGGACAUAUUCCUGCUUGGCAGUGGUCUCCUUAAUGUGCAGCACCUGGAGGCAAACACAGUUCUCCAGAUGUGGUCUGACCAGGACACAAUACAGGAGAACCACUGCCUCUCUCACUUGGGACACUGCCUCAAUUAGUGUGACUUGGCUUUAUGUUUGCUUUUUUGGCUGAGAUAGUAAGAUCACAGUCCCCUAAAAUCUCCAGGUUCUUUUUUGUGAGCUGUUUUGCCAGUGUUCCCCAGCUUAGAUAGGUAAUUUUCCAGCCACAGUUGUUUCUCAGUAUGUCCUGUCCCUGUAUGUAGAUAAUGCUAAUGACAUCUGUUUGGGCAUGUGCUUUGGGUUGUUUUUCUAGAUGUGAUUAUGAAUAUGCCCUAAUCCAUCCACAUUCUCUUGACUAGUUUCCUUAAUGACCAACAGCACAUAAGUUAUGAUGUCUAGCUGGGCUUAGGGGCAUAAUUUUGACCAUAGACUAGAACAGAGCUAACUGGUCUACGUGGGGACUGGAUACAUGGUCCUGGCCAUAUCAACACUAUGCUUCUGCAAAAUCUGAAGGUGUUAGGGAGGGAGGGAGGGAGGGAGAAAAUUUGGGAUUCAAGACUUUUAAAAAAAUUAAUGUUAAAAAUUGCCUUUAAAUGUAAUUGGGAAAAAAUUAAAAUAUUAUUAAAAAAACCUUAAGCUGUGAAAUUGAUGCCAGAAUUUCACUAAAGCUAGUUGUGCAAAUCUUGAACUUGGGGAAACACUUCUAUUCCUGUGAAGAGCCUAUAAAAUAGUGAAAUAAAACAUUUUUUAAAGCAAUUUCCUUUUUCUGUGAGAUACAGACUUGUAUCAGAGUAGACUGACAAUUUUUAAACCUUCACUUGGGAUGACUACAUGUGAUUUGGUGGCACUCCCCUAGAAAUUACAAACCAAGCACAAUUCAACAAAAUCCCAUCUGCUUCAGACAGCUGAGCAGCAUGAGUGGCAUUAAGAAAAAUACUUGCUGACUUGACCUACCAAUUACCCUUCCACCGGCUCAUCAUUCACUUCUGAACUAUGGCUCAAGUGCUCCAUUUCAUAAAGCCACAGGAUUCAGAACAGGGAGGACUCUUUGGAAUCAUAUUAUCCACAUCCUUCAUCUUAUAAAUAAGGAAACUGAGCCCCAGUGAGGUUAAGUGACAUCUCCAAGGUUACACCAUAAGUGGUAAAAGUAGGAUUCAAACCUCUGUCUUCGAAUCCAAUGUUCUUUCCCUUCUAUCACAAUGUCCUUAAGACCCUGAAUGAUCGAUCUUAGGACCAGCUUCUAUGUAAGAUUUAGUAUCUUAAUUCAGAGUGCUCCAGGGGAAAAGGUUCAAUACUUAAAUUUCCUUCAUGGCUUGCAGCAUGCUUUUUUCAAGAGAAAUCUUUACUUUACUUCAAAUUGCAAAAUAGUAACACAUCGGUCUACAGGAGUUUAUGUACAUUCUGCAGAUGUCUUUGUAUACUUAGAACCAUUGUUUUGAAGAUGUUCUUACACAAGUUAGAGGAAAGAAUACAGAACAGAGUGCCUCAUGACAAUGAAUCUCAAAAAAAUCCACACCAUUUGAAAUUUGCAAAAUCCUCCACAAAAGGUCAGGAAGACAAAUGAUGUUGAUCAGAGACAUAUAUGUUCAGUGGAUUCUUGGUUUUGGUUGUAAAAUAACUAUGCCUCCAGUUGUUCAGUUACAUGUGGCUCUAAAAGUACAGAAAAUCCCUAUGACUGGGGAUAUAAGACUUGAUGGCCUCUAGACCUUACUGAUAGAUACUACUGGUGCUUCUCAGAUCAAUGGGGAUAUUGACAAGGGACUUGUGAAAAAGCCUCUGUCAACAUGCCAGUCAUCCACAGUAACCUUACUUGUACAAGCCUGUGGAAGUGAAAGAUGAAAUAAGAGGCAGCUAUAAUUAAGAAUUUUGUUUUCCCAGCUUUCCUUCCAUUUACAACAAAUUUCUAUGGAGAGGGAGGUGUUUCCUUAUCUGAUUAUAAGGCUGAAUCCAGAUUAGGCAUGAUAUUCUCUUUUUUCUUUCCUACUCACUUUCCACACACUUUUUUUUUUCGGCUAUCUUACACCAAUGGUGGUGUCUUUUUCUGAAAAGUUCAAGAAUUCAGAUCCUUCUAUGAGGUCAUACUAUUUACAUUUCUAAACAUGCUCAGUAGUGAUGAGAUGAAGAUUUUAUUCUCUUGAAUUUUUACAUAAGGAUAUUUUGUCUACAUUUAUAUAGCUUUAUUUCUCUAAAAUAUUUGUGUAGCAACUUCUAGCCUUCACAUUUCACUUAACUUAGUGUCUAUCUGCUUGCCUUGUCCUCUUGGGAGAAGGACAGAAUGAAGACCGGUAUUAAAUAUAAAUAUUAAAUUAAAUAUACAUGAUACAAGGAGUUAUGUAAUACUUCAAUUUGCAUUCUCAAAGCAGAUAAAAAUUCACAUUGUCACAUUUAAAAAAAGACCACAAAACAAAAAUAAAAAGGCUUUUUUCUGCUCUGGCACCUACCACCAUUUGGUGAUUUUGUUUGCAUAGGUUACCAACACCCAACCCUUCUCCCCAAUCCCUCAUGGUUACUAAAAUACAGUAGAAAUUUAAAAAAAAAACCACCUUCUGACAGGUGAGGUCACCAACUAGCUAUAUUCAAAAGGAUGUCAUCUGACAAUCAUUUUUCCUUGGGAAACAAAGGCAUAGCCACGUGAAUGCUAAGGAUACAGGAAGAAUAAAGGCUUACUUGAUAUGAGUAAGAUCUCUUGGUGCUUGAAGGAGACAAGAUCAGUUUUUAUAGUAUUUGGAGUUUCUUGAAAGAGACUAUGCAGGAUUUAAAUGCAGGUUAUGGUCCUUUUUGUUUUGAAGCUUGCUGGGAUGCCUCCAGUGAGGUUAGUCAAAUACCUUGGAAGAUGCUGUCACAGUUUUCUAAGCCCUAGAUGGUUUCUGGACUGAGGAUGUUAAUGAAUAAACUGAAGGAAAGCAGUAAUCCUGGAAGUUUUCGUUGGGCUGAAGUUGUCUGGUGGAGAUAGGUUUUGUUUAUUCAAGUUCUCACACCUUUGGGUAAGGAUAAAGCUUAGCAGAUUCCUUCAGUCAACACCAUUGAGGUGAAAGCCAUUGCAAAGUAGUCAUCAGUCAGGAAAUGGAAAAAAGAAGCCACUAUGUUACUUUCCAAUUCUUUAACCAGAUACUUGAAGCUUUCUACAAUUUGGCUCCAAGAUGCUUUCCAUCCUUUUCUCCCAUCAUUCCCUUCACUUACUAUAGAGGGAUAGGGACUGCAUCUGUGAUUCUUUCAUUGAUAAAGGGAACUCACAAAUGAGGAAACUCAUUCUGCCAAUGCAGGUUGCCACCUUCCCUACAAUAUAAGAGAACAGAUCUUUUAAUAGUUGUGGUGUUGCCUAGAAAAAGCACUGAGCGGUUAGGUGAUUGAUCCAGGGAUACAGUCAGGGAUGUGUUAAAGACAAAACUUCAGCCUAGUUCUUCGUGGACUGAAGGACAGAUCUCAAGCUACUAUGCAAAACUGCUUCUCAAACACUAUAUAUUUCAACUAAAUGAGACUACUAGCUCUUCUAUGAGCUCUACCAUUCUUUCUGGCCUCCCUGCAUCUUUGUGGACUGUUAUUCAUGCCCGGGAAAACAUUCAUUUCAAAUCUCUGCCUGCAAAAAUUCAUCUCUUCCUUUAAAGCCUGACAAAGGCAGCCCUUCUUCCAGGAAGUCUUCCUUGAUGCUACUAGCUCUCUUUAAAUUUCCCCACAACACCAUGGCUAGAUCUCUCCUUUGCCCCAUUAUAAGUGACUGCAUAGCAUAAUUAUUUGUGAAGAUGUUAUAUUCUCUCUCCUUAUGCCCACUUCCUCCAGGGCAUCGACCAUGCAAUUAUUUCAUCUUUGUUUCUUUAAAGCUUAGCACUAUGCCUUGUACACUAUAGUGCGUUCAAUUUAAGGUGAAUGAGUUCUUUUCUUAAGACUUAUUUUGGGGGCAGCUAGGUGGCACAGUAGAUAGAGCUCCAACCUUGGAGUCAGGAGGA